AAUUUUGCUACAUAUAAUAAAUAUUUAUUCUCAUAAAAAAAUUACUACAUUGACUAAACUUCAAAAAAUUAAACUAUUGUGCUGAUAACUUACAAAAAGAGGAAAAAAAAUAGGAAAAAUUCAAUAAAUUUGUAUAUUUUAUUAAGAACUAAAAUCCUAUACAAACUUUUCUCCAUUAUUGAAUAUUUUUUUUCAAAUUUCAGCCCAUCACGUUGAAAGCAAUGACGGCC
This 230-nucleotide long non-coding RNA is filed under the name Olea europaea (common olive). Its description in RNAcentral is "long non-coding RNA (OEUR_LNC006777)". The record is from RNAcentral. Lineage: Eukaryota; Viridiplantae; Streptophyta; Magnoliopsida; Lamiales; Oleaceae.